GACGAACGCUGGCGGCGUGCUUAACACAUGCAAGUCGUACGGUAAGGCCCUUUCGGGGGUACACGAGUGGCGAACGGGUGAGUAACACGUGAGUAACCUGCCCACAACUUUGGGAUAACGCUAGGAAACUGGUGCUAAUACUGGAUAUGUGCUCCUGCUGCAUGGUGGGGGUUGGAAAGCUCCGGCGGUUGUGGCUGGACUCGCGGCCUAUCAGCUUGUUGGUGGGGUAGUGGCCUACCAAGGCGGCGACGGGUAGCCGGCCUGGGAGGGUGACCGGCCACAUUGGGACUGAGAUACGGCCCAGUCUCCUACGGGAGGCAGCAGUGGGGAAUAUUGCACGAUGGGCGAAAGCCUGAUGCAGCAACGCCGCGUGCGGGAUGACGGCCUUCGGGUUGUAAACCGCUUUCAGCAGGGACGACGCUUUUUGUGACGGUACCUGCAGAAGAAGCACCGGCUAACUACGUG
This 465-nucleotide ribosomal RNA is filed under the name uncultured bacterium. RNAcentral describes it as "partial 16S ribosomal RNA". It matches the Rfam family "Bacterial small subunit ribosomal RNA", at positions 28 to 507 of the family's 1533-position model. The record is from RNAcentral.